RNAcentral lists this ribosomal RNA (266 nucleotides) under uncultured bacterium. RNAcentral describes it as "partial 16S ribosomal RNA". It matches the Rfam family "Bacterial small subunit ribosomal RNA", at positions 88 to 354 of the family's 1533-position model. The record is from RNAcentral.
UGGGUUAGUGGCGGACGGGUGAGUAACGCGUGGGCAACCUGCCUUACACAGGGGGAUAACACUUAGAAAUAGGUGCUAAAACCGCAUAAGCGCACAGCUUCGCAUGAAGCGGUGUGAAAAACUCCGGUGGUGUAAGAUGGACCCGCGUCUGAUUAGCUUGUUGGCGGGGUAACGGCCCACCAAGGCGACGAUCAGUAGCCGGCCUGAGAGGGUGGACGGCCACAUUGGGACUGAGACACGGCCCAAACUCCUACGGGAGGCAGCAG